AGAGUUUGAUCAUGGCUCAGAGUGAACGCUGGCGGCAGGCCUAAUACAUGCAAGUCGAACGGCAGCACGGCAGAGCUUGCUCUGUGGGUGGCGAGUGGCGGACGGGUGAGGAAUACAUGGGAAUCUGCCCAGUCGUGGGGAUAACGUAGGGAAACUUACGCUAAUACCGCAUGCGCCCUUCGGGGAAAGCCGGGGACCUUCGGGCCUGGCGCGAUUGGAUGAGCCCAUGUCGGAUUAGCUAGUUGGCGGGGUAAUGGCCCACCAAGGCGACGAUCCGUAGCAGGUCUGAGAGGAUGAUCAGCCACACUGGAACUGAGACACGGUCCAGACUCCUACGGGAGGCAGCAGUAGGGAAUAUUGGACAAUGGGCGCAAGCCUGAUCCAGCCAUGCCGCGUGAGUGAAGAAGGCCCUCGGGUUGUAAAGCUCUUUUGUCCGGAAAGAAAAGCGCCGGGUUAAUACCCUGGUGUCCUGACGGUACCGGAAGAAUAAGCACCGGCUAACUUCGUG
This 508-nucleotide ribosomal RNA is filed under the name uncultured bacterium. RNAcentral's name for it is "bacterial SSU rRNA". It matches the Rfam family "Bacterial small subunit ribosomal RNA", at positions 8 to 507 of the family's 1533-position model. The record is from RNAcentral.